CCCUGUUUUCCUCUCUUCGUUUUGCUGUGGAUGAAGGAGAGAGAGAGAGAAAGAGAGAGAAAGGGGGUGGGGGGAGAAGCGAGACAGAUGGCAGAGUGGAGAGGCAGCAGCCAGUGCCGGCACUGCCCAGCCUGGGCGGACCCAGCUCCCCCCCUCUGCCAGCCUCCAAAUGCCACCCUUCCCCCAUCCUCCCUCCCCCCAUCCCCCCAGCUUGGCACUGAUCUCGGAGAGAGAGGGAGGGAGGCUGGGCAAAGAGCAUCUGUUCCCUCCAUUCUCCCAGCUCCAUCGGCUGCCAACCUAGGGCCAUCGCCUGCCUCAUCACCCCUCCGCCCGCCCGCCUGCCCGCCUACCCACCCAAUCCCAAAUGGGUGCUGGAUCAGGUGCUGAAUCUGGCUGCCUCCUCGGGACCUCCUUCCCGUUCCCUCUUAGGCAUGGGGAGUAGAGCGACAGACGGAGAGAGGCGUGAGGACACAAAGGAGAAAGCACGCCAUUGCCAAGACCCCAAGGAAGGAGGAUGGAGAGGCUGGCAGUCCUGCCUGGCCCCCAGCCAGUUUCCUGCUAAAGAUGGCCAAAUCCUCUCGCCUGGUUUGAAGACCACAUAGCCUGGUGACGCUGGGGAUGGGAGGAAGGAGGCGGCUGUGGUACAAGCAAGAAAAGUGAUAGAGAAGGUGGAAAUGGCUGGAUUGAAAGGAAGACAACUGAUGGGGGAUGACAGGCACCUGAAUCAAGGCAAGCAGCAGAAGCCAGA
Long non-coding RNA from Cervus elaphus (red deer), 748 nucleotides. RefSeq lists it as uncharacterized. The record is from RefSeq and is a predicted model, not a curated record. NCBI's taxonomy places the organism in Eukaryota, Metazoa, Chordata, Mammalia, Artiodactyla, Cervidae. The transcript has 3 exons.